UACGUAGGGACCGAGCGUUGUCCGGAAUCAUUGGGCGUAAAGAGCGUGUAGGCGGCCACUUAAGUCCUGCGUGAAAUCUUGCGGCUCAACCGCAAGCGGUCGUGGGAAACUGGGUGGCUAGAGUGCGGGAGAGGAGAGUGGAAUUCCUGGUGUAGCGGUGAAAUGCGUAGAUAUCAGGAGGAAUACCGGUGGUGUAGACGGCUCUCUGGACCGCGACUGACGCUGAGACACGAAAGCGUGGUAGCAAACAGG
This 252-nucleotide ribosomal RNA is filed under the name uncultured bacterium. RNAcentral describes it as "partial 16S ribosomal RNA". It matches the Rfam family "Bacterial small subunit ribosomal RNA", at positions 524 to 776 of the family's 1533-position model. The record is from RNAcentral.